Molecule: ribosomal RNA, 159 nt
Filed under: Xylaria globosa
Lineage: Eukaryota; Fungi; Ascomycota; Sordariomycetes; Xylariales; Xylariaceae
Description: 5.8S ribosomal RNA
Rfam family: 5.8S ribosomal RNA
About the family: 5.8S ribosomal RNA (5.8S rRNA) is a component of the large subunit of the eukaryotic ribosome. It is transcribed by RNA polymerase I as part of the 45S precursor that also contains 18S and 28S rRNA. Functionally, it is thought that 5.8S rRNA may be involved in ribosome translocation.
Source: RNAcentral
AAAACUUUCAACAACGGAUCUCUUGGUUCUGGCAUCGAUGAAGAACGCAGCGAAAUGCGAUAAGUAAUGUGAAUUGCAGAAUUUAGUGAAUCAUCGAAUCUUUGAACGCACAUUGCGCCCGUUAGUAUUCUAGCGGGCAUGCCUGUUCGAGCGUCAUUU